UUCGCUGACGAGUGGCGGACGGGUGAGUAAUGUCUGGGAAACUGCCUGAUGGAGGGGGAUAACUACUGGAAACGGUAGCUAAUACCGCAUAACGUCGCAAGACCAAAGAGGGGGACCUUCGGGCCUCUUGCCAUCGGAUGUGCCCAGAUGGGAUUAGCUAGUAGGUGGGGUAACGGCUCACCUAGGCGACGAUCCCUAGCUGGUCUGAGAGGAUGACCAGCCACACUGGAACUGAGACACGGUCCAGACUCCUACGGGAGGCAGCAGUGGGGAAUAUUGCACA
This 283-nucleotide ribosomal RNA is filed under the name Escherichia coli. RNAcentral describes it as "partial 16S ribosomal RNA". It matches the Rfam family "Bacterial small subunit ribosomal RNA", at positions 84 to 370 of the family's 1533-position model. Lineage: Bacteria; Pseudomonadati; Pseudomonadota; Gammaproteobacteria; Enterobacterales; Enterobacteriaceae. The record is from RNAcentral.